CGUCGGACGAGCAGGAGGCCAGGGCUGCGUGGUGCUCUCUGGCAAGCUCAGCGGGCUGAAGUGUGCUGUCUUCGCUGAUAUGUCCACGAAGAGGAGGAUUCCUAGGAUCCGUGGCAAUUCCCCAGAAGGACUCUGCUAGAUCUGCCUGCGUCAUAUGCCCAUUACUGAGAAACCUCAUAUUCAGGCAUGGGGUACCCUAAUUGGCAAAGAUGGCACUAUGUGGUGACCAGACAGAUUCAUUGCUUCCUGGACACAGGAGAAGACUACAUUUCCCAGGCUCUCUGCUCAUAAGUGGUGGUUGCACAGGUCUAACCAAGAACCCCAGAGAAACCCUACAGAACAGCGAAGACACUAAAAGGAAGAAGCUGUGUCUCUGAAUUUCUGCUUAUAGGAGAGCUUCCCGUGUCCUGCCCCUGUCUUCCAAAACCCUCAUCAAGUUAUGGGACCACUAAGAAAUAAACUUACUGUGUUAAACCGCU
Non-coding RNA from Sus scrofa (pig), 479 nucleotides. Lineage: Eukaryota; Metazoa; Chordata; Mammalia; Artiodactyla; Suidae. The record is from RefSeq and is a predicted model, not a curated record.